Long non-coding RNA from Pipistrellus kuhlii (Kuhl's pipistrelle), 454 nucleotides. RefSeq lists it as uncharacterized. Lineage: Eukaryota; Metazoa; Chordata; Mammalia; Chiroptera; Vespertilionidae. The record is from RefSeq and is a predicted model, not a curated record. The transcript has 2 exons.
UUUUAUUUCUCUCAGUAGUUCAUAUGCAAAUAAUAAACUCUCAAAGCAUUUUGAAAACACAAAAGACAUUAUUAUACCUUACUAAAAAAUUAUUUCUGUCCCAGGGGAUUAAAUUAAAAUGUUACCAAUAUUUAAAAAUUCAUUUAUAAGUAACUUGAGGUGAGGAAUUCAUAGGUUUCUUCGUUCAAUGUUUUGUACAUGCCAUUCGUACAAUAAAAUUUCUUAAUAUUUAGGGCACUGUCAAUAACUAUCAUUCAUAUGAAAAAUAUAUAUAUCAGAUUCCUGAUUAAGUCAGUUGUAAAAUACAAAAUACAGCACACUUGCUAUGAAAUUCUGUUUGUAAUGUUCCUUUUCACAAACUGCAAUUAACUACUGAUGAAUUCUGUUUAAUCCUAGAAGUUUUAUAAAUGAUACUUUUCUUCACAGAAAAAAAAGAAAGAUGUUGAAAAGACAG